AACGAACGCUGGCGGCAUGCCUAACACAUGCAAGUCGAACGAGAUCUUCGGGUCUAGUGGCGCACGGGUGCGUAACGCGUGGGAAUCUGCCCUUUGGUUCGGAAUAACAGUUGGAAACGACUGCUAAUACCGGAUGAUGACGAAAGUCAAACGCUUUAUCGCCAGAGGAUGAGCCCGCGUAGGAUUAGCUAGUUGGUGUGGUAAAGGCGCACCAAGGCGACGAUCCUUAGCUGGUCUGAGAGGAUGAUCAGCCACACUGGGACUGGGACACGGCCAAGACGACUACGUGAGGCAGCAGUGGCGAAUAUUGGACAAUGGGCGAAAGCCUGAUCCAGCGAUGCCGCGUGAGUGAUGAAGGCCUUAGGGUUGUAAAGCUCUUUUACCCGGGAUGAUAAUGACAGUACCGGGAGAAUAAGCUCCGGCUAACUCCGUGCCAGCCGCCGCCGUAA
RNAcentral lists this ribosomal RNA (449 nucleotides) under uncultured bacterium. RNAcentral's name for it is "partial 16S ribosomal RNA". It matches the Rfam family "Bacterial small subunit ribosomal RNA", at positions 29 to 523 of the family's 1533-position model. The record is from RNAcentral.